GGGGCUGUAGCUUAGUGGCAGAGUGCUUGCCUGGCAUGUGGGAGGUGCUAGGUUCAAUCCUCAGCACCA
This 69-nucleotide transfer RNA is filed under the name Ictidomys tridecemlineatus (thirteen-lined ground squirrel). RNAcentral's name for it is "Spermophilus tridecemlineatus (thirteen-lined ground squirrel) tRNA". It matches the Rfam family "tRNA". From Rfam's summary of the family: Transfer RNA (tRNA) molecules are approximately 80 nucleotides in length. Their secondary structure includes four short double-helical elements and three loops (D, anti-codon, and T loops). Lineage: Eukaryota; Metazoa; Chordata; Mammalia; Rodentia; Sciuridae. The record is from Rfam by way of RNAcentral.